GACGAACGCUGGCGGCGUGCCUAAUACAUGCAAGUUGAGCGCUGAAGGUUGGUACUUGUACCAACUGGAUGAGCAGCGAACGGGUGAGUAACGCGUGGGGAAUCUGCCUUUGAGCGGGGGACAACAUUUGGAAACGAAUGCUAAUACCGCAUAAAAACUUUAAACACAAGUUUUAAGUUUGAAAGAUGCAAUUGCAUCACUCAAAGAUGAUCCCGCGUUGUAUUAGCUAGUUGGUGAGGUAAAGGCUCACCAAGGCGAUGAUACAUAGCCGACCUGAGAGGGUGAUCGGCCACAUUGGGACUGAGACACGGCCCAAACUCCUACGGGAGGCAGCAGUAGGGAAUCUUCGGCAAUGGACGAAAGUCUGACCGAGCAACGCCGCGUGAGGGAAGAAGGAUGUCGGAUCGUAAAACUCUGUUGGUAGAGAAGAACGUUGGUGAGAGUGGAAAGCUCAUCAAGUGACGGUAACUACCCAGAAAGGGACGGCUAACUACGUG
This 497-nucleotide ribosomal RNA is filed under the name uncultured bacterium. RNAcentral describes it as "partial 16S ribosomal RNA". It matches the Rfam family "Bacterial small subunit ribosomal RNA", at positions 28 to 507 of the family's 1533-position model. The record is from RNAcentral.